RNAcentral lists this unclassified non-coding RNA (559 nucleotides) under Hevea brasiliensis (rubber tree). Lineage: Eukaryota; Viridiplantae; Streptophyta; Magnoliopsida; Malpighiales; Euphorbiaceae. The record is from RNAcentral.
ACUUAUGUACCAAUGGGAACAUCUUCAAACAACUCUUAACAAUAUACAAAAUAGCAAGGUCUCUACUGUCUUUAUCUUGUUCUUUAAUAUUUUUAGUUGUUGUUGAUACUUGAUCUGCACUUUCUUCAUUGAUAGGUUCUUAAGACUCCAAAUACAUGAUCUUUGAAACAACGUGUGCGCUAUUUUCCUUUCAACACAUUAAAGUAAAGACAGUGACGAUAUAUACCCAUGCCUGCAUGUGCUUGGUUGAAUGGGCUUUAGCAUAUGUUGCCUCAGGAUCGUCCCCAACAUUGAACAAUUGAAGAAGCUGAGAGCAGGCCGAUCAGACCAACUGGUUGAACUAUCACCGUUAAAUUUGAAGAGUUCAUUUUCAGUACUGCUAGUUGUAGAUAUUCAUAAUUCUUCUGUUGAUAGAGAAAGAAUACUCAAAGGUCAUUGAUUCCGGUAUCCAUAAGAAAACCGAUUCUUCAGAAAUCUAUAGAAGGCAAAAAUCACAUGGAAAUAGAGGGCACAAUUCGAUUUGCAUCUUUUAGGGUUACUCUGGGGUUGGGAGGAGGGA